AUUGAACGCUGGCGGCAUGCUUUACACAUGCAAGUCGAACGGUAACAGGCCUUCGGGUGCUGACGAGUGGCGAACGGGUGAGUAAUGCAUCGGAACGUGCCCAGAGGUGGGGGAUAACGCAGCGAAAGCUGUGCUAAUACCGCAUGUGAUCUGAGGAUGAAAGCGGGGGACCAGGCAGCAAUGUUUGGCCUCGCGCCUUUGGAGCGGCCGAUGUCAGAUUAGGUAGUUGGUGGGGUAAAGGCCUACCAAGCCGACGAUCUGUAGCUGGUCUGAGAGGACGACCAGCCACACUGGGACUGAGACACGGCCCAGACUCCUACGGGAGGCAGCAGUGGGGAAUUUUGGACAAGGGGCGCAAGCCUGAUCCAGCAAUGCCGCGUGCGGGAAGAAGGCCUUCGGGUUGUAAACCGCUUUUGUACGGAACGAAAAGGCUCUGGCUAAUACCUGGGGCUGAUGACGGUACCGUAAGAAUAAGCACCGGCUAACUACGUG
Molecule: ribosomal RNA, 492 nt
Filed under: uncultured bacterium
Lineage: Bacteria
Description: partial 16S ribosomal RNA
Rfam family: Bacterial small subunit ribosomal RNA
Source: RNAcentral